CAGUAGCCGCGGGAAUACGUAGGUGGCAAGCGUUAAUCAGAAUUACUGGGCGUAAAGCGUGCGCAGGUGGUUGUGUAAGACAGGUGUGAAAUCCCCGGGCUUAACCUGGGAACUGCGCUUGUGACUGCACAGCUAGAGUAUGGCAGAGGGGGGUGGAAUUCCACGUGUAGCAGUGAAAUGCGUAGAGGUGUGGAGGAACACCGAUGGCGAAGGCAGCCCCCUGGGCCAAUACUGACGCUCAUGCGCGAAAGCGUGGGGAGCAAACAGGAUUAGAUACCCCCGUAGUCCCUGUCUCUUAUAC
This 301-nucleotide ribosomal RNA is filed under the name uncultured bacterium. RNAcentral's name for it is "partial 16S ribosomal RNA". It matches the Rfam family "Bacterial small subunit ribosomal RNA", at positions 509 to 807 of the family's 1533-position model. The record is from RNAcentral.